Molecule: ribosomal RNA, 472 nt
Filed under: uncultured bacterium
Lineage: Bacteria
Description: partial 16S ribosomal RNA
Rfam family: Bacterial small subunit ribosomal RNA
Source: RNAcentral
GACGAACGCUGGCGGCGUGCUUAACACAUGCAAGUCGAACGAUGAACCCGGAGCUUGCUCUGGGGGAUUAGUGGCGAACGGGUGAGUAACACGUGAGUAACCUGCCCUGGACUCUGGGAUAAGCGUUGGAAACGACGUCUAAUACCGGAUAGGACCUUGGAUCGCAUGAUCUGGGGUGGAAAGUUUUUUCGGUCUGGGAUGGACUCGCGGCCUAUCAGCUUGUUGGUGAGGUAAUGGCUCACCAAGGCGUCGACGGGUAGCCGGCCUGAGAGGGUGACCGGCCACACUGGGACUGAGACACGGCCCAGACUCCUACGGGAGGCAGCAGUGGGGAAUAUUUCACAAUGGGCGAAAGCCUGAUGCAGCAACGCCGCGUGCGGGAUGACGGCCGUCGGGUUGUAAACCGCUUUUAGUAGGGAAGAAGGGCUUCGGCUUGACGGUACCUGCAGAAAAAGGACCGGCUAACUACGUG